UGGGGAAUAUUGCACAAUGGGCGCAAGCCUGAUGCAGCCAUGCCGCGUGUGUGAAGAAGGCCUUCGGGUUGUAAAGCACUUUCAGCGAGGAGGAAGGUGGUGAGCUUAAUACGCUCAUCAAUUGACGUUACUCGCAGAAGAAGCACCGGCUAACUCCGUGCCAGCAGCCGCGGUAAUACGGAGGGUGCAAGCGUUAAUCGGAAUUACUGGGCGUAAAGCGCACGCAGGCGGUUUGUUAAGUCAGAUGUGAAAUCCCCCGGGCUCAACCUGGGAACUGCAUUUGAAACUGGCAAGUAGAGUCUCGUAGAGGGGGGUAGAAUUCCAGGUGUAGCGGUGAAAUGCGUAGAGAUCUGGAGGAAUACCGGUGGCGAAGGCGGCCCCCCUGGACGAAGACUGACGCUCAGGUGCGAAAGCGUGGGCAGCAAACAGGAUUAGAUACCCUGGUGUCCACGCUGUAAAACGAUGUCGAUUUUGGAGGUUGUG
RNAcentral lists this ribosomal RNA (483 nucleotides) under uncultured bacterium. RNAcentral describes it as "partial 16S ribosomal RNA". It matches the Rfam family "Bacterial small subunit ribosomal RNA", at positions 355 to 829 of the family's 1533-position model. The record is from RNAcentral.